Molecule: long non-coding RNA, 1283 nt
Organism: Limulus polyphemus (Atlantic horseshoe crab)
Lineage: Eukaryota; Metazoa; Arthropoda; Merostomata; Xiphosura; Limulidae
Exons: 3
Source: RefSeq, a predicted model, not a curated record
GAUCUGUUGACCAAGGAUUGAUAGUUCUAAUGUAUAUGUUUUUAGACAUAUGAUCUGUUGACCAAGGAUUGAUAGUUCUAAUAUAUAUGUUUUUAGACAUAUGAUCUGUUGACCAAGGAUUGAUAGUUCUAAUGUAUAUGUUUUGAGUAUUAUUUAGUUUACAAUCAGCAAUAGUGGGUUACAUUAAAACAAAGAAAUAAUAACAUUUUGUCCAAUUUUCCAUUGGAUUGGUGCUUAGUUUUAGUAUACUUUCUAGGAAACUUUGUAUCUAGUUUUGUAGCAUAUAGUGAAUAGUGUUCUUUGUAGCUAACCCAGUGUUAGUGUUCAGUAUAUGCUUAGGAAUGAGUUGGUAUAUAGUGUUCACUACACAUUUUGCCAAAUGUCUGUCUGUCACAUUUUGUAUCGUUUGAAUGGUUAACUGUAGAAACAAAAAUGUAUAUCUAAAUGGUUAUUCAGUUGGAUGGUUUUUUAAUUCCUAAUAUUUCAUAUCAAUCCAUCAGUCUUAAUAUGUGCCAAAUGAUUAAUCUAACAGAAACAUUAUUAAGAAUAAAAAUAUUUUUAGGGGCAAUUUCACAACAAAAAAGGGGACUUCCUCCGUGGAUUGACUGAAAGAAAUAUUUCGAAGAUAAGAACAUGAACAAGAAAUACAUAUAUGAAGAAAGGAACGUGUGUUUUGAGACCCGAGCUUUUUGAAAUUAUUACACAACAAAACUUUGGACCUAAAACACCAUUUAUGGGGUCAAGAGUCUGAAUUACAGAGUAGGCCUAAAAAAAAAGUGAAAUUGUCAAAGUAUUAGGGACAAGCAGCUCGAGUAAUCAAACCUUUAGAUUCCAUUUACAGUAUCUCUAAAGUAUUUUGGUAAGUCUUAGCCCUAACAAUGUAAUUUAAAAUAAAGCUCAAAAGUCGUUAAAAUGUUUAAAAUAGUCUUUAUAGAUCAUCUUUUGUAGAAAGAGGAUAAAAAUAAAACUACAAUAAAUGUACACUUCAAUCCACAAACUUAACAUCAGAACACUAUCCUCAAACAUACAAGUUGUCCAGUCCAGAGAACAAAGUCAACCCAAACUUUUAGACCUUAAGUCUCAAAAAGGAAACAAGUAUCGAAAAACAUUAAGGAAAACCUACAUUCUGCCGACCAACAGAACCUAGCGAAUCUGUCAACUAACAGAAAACCUACAUUCUGUUGACCAACAGAACCUAGCGAAUCUGUCAACUAACAGAAAACCUACAUUCUGUUGACCAACAGAACCUAGCGAAUCUGUCAACUAACAGAAAACCUACAUUC